RNAcentral lists this ribosomal RNA (232 nucleotides) under uncultured bacterium. RNAcentral's name for it is "partial 16S ribosomal RNA". It matches the Rfam family "Bacterial small subunit ribosomal RNA", at positions 15 to 230 of the family's 1533-position model. The record is from RNAcentral.
GAUCAUGGCUCAGGAUGAACGCUAGCUACAGGCUUAACACAUGCAAGUCGAGGGGCAGCAUUGACGAUAGCUUAGCUAUUGUUGAUGGCGACCGGCGCACGGGUGAGUAACGCGUAUCCAACCUUCCCGAUAGCUAGGGAAUAACCUUGCGAAAGUAAGACUAAUGCCCCUAUAACCAUUCGUUUGCAAGACAUCUAAAGAGAAGUUAAAGAUUUAUCGGCUAUGGAUGGGG